Molecule: small RNA, 532 nt
Filed under: Pan troglodytes (chimpanzee)
Lineage: Eukaryota; Metazoa; Chordata; Mammalia; Primates; Hominidae
Description: processed transcript
Source: RNAcentral
AGUACCCUGAUCCCAGGUGCAGAGGCUGGAGCCCAGGCCUGUAUGAGUGCCAGGGCCGGUUUCUUGGGGUCCUCGGUGCACCGGGGCAAUGAAGAGAGGGAUGAGGACGGGGACUUGGUUGCCUUUUCCAGUGACGAGGAAUUGACAAUGGCCAUGUCCUACGUGAAGGAUGACAUCUUCCGAAUCUACAUUAAAGAGAAAAAAGAGUGCCGGCGGGACCACCGCCCACCGUGUGCUCAGGAGGCGCCCCGCAACAUGGUGCACCCCAAUGUGAUCUGUGAUGGCUGCAAUGGGCCUGUGGUGGGAACCCGCUACAAGUGCAGCGUCUGCCCAGACUACGACUUGUGUAGCGUCUGCGAGGGAAAGGGCUUGCACCGGGGGCACACCAAGCUCGCGUUCCCCAGCCCCUUCGGGCACCUGUCUGAGGGCUUCUCGCACAGCCGCUGGCUCCGGAAGGUGAAACACGGACACUUCGGGUGGCCAGGAUGGGAAAUGGGUCCACCAGGAAACUGGAGCCCACGUCCUCCUCGUG